AUUGAACGCUGGCGGCAGGCCUAACACAUGCAAGUCGAGCGGAUGAAGGGAGCUUGCUCCUGGAUUCAGUGGCGGACGGGUGAGUAAUGCCUAGGAAUCUGCCUGGUAGUGGGGGAUAACGUCCGGAAACGGGCGCUAAUACCGCAUACGUCCUGAGGGAGAAAGUGGGGGAUCUUCGGACCUCACGCUAUCAGAUGAGCCUAGGUCGGAUUAGCUAGUUGGUGGGGUAAAGGCCUACCAAGGCGACGAUCCGUAACUGGUCUGAGAGGAUGAUCAGUCACACUGGAACUGAGACACGGUCCAGACUCCUACGGGAGGCAGCAGUGGGGAAUAUUGGACAAUGGGCGAAAGCCUGAUCCAGCCAUGCCGCGUGUGUGAAGAAGGUCUUCGGAUUGUAAAGCACUUUAAGUUGGGAGGAAGGGCAGUAAGUUUAUACCUUGCUGUUUUGACGUUACCAACAGAAUAAGCACCGGCUAACUUCGUG
RNAcentral lists this ribosomal RNA (484 nucleotides) under uncultured bacterium. RNAcentral describes it as "partial 16S ribosomal RNA". It matches the Rfam family "Bacterial small subunit ribosomal RNA", at positions 30 to 507 of the family's 1533-position model. The record is from RNAcentral.